RNAcentral lists this ribosomal RNA (468 nucleotides) under uncultured bacterium. RNAcentral's name for it is "partial 16S ribosomal RNA". It matches the Rfam family "Bacterial small subunit ribosomal RNA", at positions 28 to 507 of the family's 1533-position model. The record is from RNAcentral.
GACGAACGCUGGCGGCGUGCUUAACACAUGCAAGUCGAACGGCAAGGCCCUGCUUUUGUGCGGUGCUCGAGUGGCGAACGGGUGAGUAACACGUGAGUAACCUGCCCUUGACUUUGGGAUAACUUCAGGAAACUGGGGCUAAUACCGGAUCGGAUCUCCUGCUGCAUGGUGGGGGUUGGAACGUUUCGGCGGGUGGGGAUGGACUCGCGGCUUAUCAGCUUGUUGGUGGGGUAGUGGCUUACCAAGGCUUUGACGGGUCGCCGGCCUGAGAGGGCGACCGGGCACAUUGGGACUGAGAUACGGCCCAGACUCCUACGGGAGGCAGCGGUGGGGAAUAUUGCACAGUGGGCGGGAGCCUGAGGCAGCAACGCCGGGUGCGGGAUGACGGCCUUCUGGUUGUAAACCGCUUUCGCCUGUGACGAAGCGUUAGUGACGGUAAUGGGUAAAGAAGCACCAGCUAACUACGUG